RNAcentral lists this non-coding RNA (27 nucleotides) under Mus musculus (house mouse). Lineage: Eukaryota; Metazoa; Chordata; Mammalia; Rodentia; Muridae. RNAcentral also lists the same sequence under 1 other name. The record is from RNAcentral.
GUGCUCGCUUCGGCAGCACAUAUACUA